This is a long non-coding RNA of Telopea speciosissima, 286 nucleotides long. RefSeq lists it as uncharacterized. The transcript is spliced from 4 exons. The record is from RefSeq and is a predicted model, not a curated record. Lineage: Eukaryota; Viridiplantae; Streptophyta; Magnoliopsida; Proteales; Proteaceae.
UCAUUACAGGAACAGAUUCCUGUUACACAACUUGUUAGAGAAACUGCAGCUGUUAUGCAGGAGUUCACUUAAUCUGGUGGUGUAAGGCCUUUCGGAGUUUCACUGCUCGUUGCUGGUUUUGAUGCCGAUGGUCCACAAUUAUAGCAGGUGGACCCAUCAGGGUCAUACUUCUCUUGGAAAGCUUCUGCGAUGGGGAAGAAUGUCUCUAAUGCAAAGUCAUUUCUUGAGAAGAGGUACACUGAUGAUAUGGAGCUUGAUGAUGCAGUGCAUACAGCGAUUUUGACAC